AUUUAAAUAGUUUAAAAAAAACAUUGAUUUGUGAUAUCAAAAAUAUAAGUAGUCUUAUUUUAAAUU
RNAcentral lists this transfer RNA (66 nucleotides) under Loricera pilicornis. Its description in RNAcentral is "tRNA-His". The record is from RNAcentral. Lineage: Eukaryota; Metazoa; Arthropoda; Insecta; Coleoptera; Carabidae.